GAAGCUGAGUCAGAGAGUCGCCAUGAUGCUCCCACUCCAGACAGACGCAGGUUAAGAUCCUCUCUGCCAGGAGCGAGGCUUUCUCCUCUCCAUACCAGCGGGCUCCCAUCUCAGCUGCGCUCAAGGGUUGACCCAGACUCGCUCUCCUGCAGGGAGAGCACAGACAAAGAACAAACCGCUAUUGGCCUUAGAGACACACAGCUUCAGAGAAACAGGGCCAAGAAUGACUGUGGACACUGCCUCUGCACACACUCCUUGAAGAGCUACCACUGCACCAGCCAUGCAGCCUGCAUUCUCCUCUGAGCAUAGGUGAGCCCAAUCCAUGUCUCCCCACAGGCCAAACCAAAGGCCCUGCACAGGAGUGUGGUGGGGGGAGAUUCAGAAACGUGCUGGUUGAGUUGAGUAGAACUUGACACAGAAUCCGAACAUGGCCCUGAGUUUGUCUCGGAGUGAGGAAAGAAAAGGCUUGGAAAUGAAACGCCUCUUCCACAGCUCUCUGGAGAGCACACCCUUCUGCCUGUGACAAUGGACUGUGAGCUUGUCUGGGCACA
Molecule: long non-coding RNA, 551 nt
Organism: Alexandromys fortis (reed vole)
Lineage: Eukaryota; Metazoa; Chordata; Mammalia; Rodentia; Cricetidae
Exons: 3
Source: RefSeq, a predicted model, not a curated record